This 253-nucleotide ribosomal RNA is filed under the name uncultured bacterium. RNAcentral's name for it is "partial 16S ribosomal RNA". It matches the Rfam family "Bacterial small subunit ribosomal RNA", at positions 524 to 776 of the family's 1533-position model. The record is from RNAcentral.
UCCAGAGGGGGCAAGCGUUGUUCGGAAUUACUGGGCGUAAAGGGCGCGUAGGCGGCCUUCUAAGUCGAACGUGAAAUCCCUGGGCUCAACCCAGGAACUGCGUCCGAUACUGGAAGGCUUGAAUCCGGGAGAGGGAUGCGGAAUUCCAGGUGUAGCGGUGAAAUGCGUAGAUAUCUGGAGGAACACCGGUGGCGAAGGCGGCAUCCUGGACCGGUAUUGACGCUGAGGCGCGAAAGCCAGGGGAGCAAACGGG